UGAGGAAUCUUCGUCAAUGGGCGCAAGCCUGAACGAGCGACGCCGCGUGCGGGAUGACGCGUUUCGGCGUGUAAACCGCUUUUCUGGGGGACGAGACAGGACGGUACCCCAGGAAUAAGCCUCGGCUAACUACGUGCCAGCAGCCGCGGUAAUACGUAGGAGGCAAGCGUUGUCCGGAGUUACUGGGCGUAAAGCGUGGGCAGGCGGCUCGUCGCAUCGGGGAUGAAAUCUCCCGGCUCAACUGGGAGGGGGUUUCCGAGAUGGACGGGCUUGAGGACUGGAGAGGGAAGUAGAACUCCCGGUGGACCGGUGAAAUGGGUAGAGAUCGGGAAGAAUACCAGAGGGGCAACCGGCUUCCUGGCCAGGACCUGACGCUCAGCCACGAAAGCUUGGGGAGCAAACAGGAUUAGAUACCCCUGUAGUCC
This 425-nucleotide ribosomal RNA is filed under the name uncultured bacterium. RNAcentral's name for it is "bacterial SSU rRNA". It matches the Rfam family "Bacterial small subunit ribosomal RNA", at positions 355 to 796 of the family's 1533-position model. The record is from RNAcentral.